This 1441-nucleotide long non-coding RNA is filed under the name Homo sapiens (human). RNAcentral's name for it is "non-protein coding LINC01001:6". Lineage: Eukaryota; Metazoa; Chordata; Mammalia; Primates; Hominidae. The record is from RNAcentral.
GGGUCUCCCUCUGUUGUCCAAGGCUGGAGUGUAGUAGUGCUAUCGCAGCUGACUGCAGCCUCAACCUUCCAGGCUGAAGCGAUCCUCCCACCUCAACCUCCCACGUGGCUGAGACUACAGGUGCUUGCCACUAUGCCCAACUAAUAUUUGGAAUUUUCGUAUACGUGGAUUCCAGAGGGGUGACAGCGAAACGUGGGACCAUCCAGUUGCAGGAAAACAAGCUUAACACGCCCACUGAUUCUACAUUAUGCUCCUACCUCCCGGCAGCCUCUCCAGGCCCAGAACUUUCUCCAGUCAGCCUCUACAGACCAAGAUCAUGACUCACAAUGGCCUAUUUAGGCCCAUACCCUACGUCACGGCAGCCUCCACAGAUGAGGCUACUGCCUCACAACAGCCUCCACAGGCACAGCUCCAUCGUUACAAUGGCCUCUUUAGACCCAGCUCCUGCCUCCCAGCCUUCUCUCCAGGCCCUGAACUUUCUCAAGUCGACCUCACCAGGCCCAGGUCAUGCUUCUUUGCAGCCUCUCCAGGCCCAGCUCCUGCAUCUUGGUGGCCCCUCCAGGCCCAGCCUCUGCCUCCCGUCAGCCUCUACAGUCCCAACGUCUGCCUCACAGCAGAUUCUUCACGCCCAGCAUCUACCUCACUGUGGACCCCCCAAGCCAAGCUCCCAACCUUUCAGCAGCUUCUACACACCCAGCUCCUGCCACCCAGUGGCCUCUUUAGGCCAAGCUCAUGCUUCACAAGGGCCUUUCCAGGCCCAACUUUUGUCUCAUGGCAACCUUCCCUGGCCAGAUUCCUGCCUGUCUCCCAGCAGCCUAGACAGGCCCAGGUCUUGCCUCACACUGGCCUCUCUACAUCCAGCUUAUGCCUCACGGUGGCCUCUCCACGCCCAACUCCUGUCCCAGGACGUCAUCUCCGGGCCCAAAACUUACUCAAGUCAGACUCUCUAGUCCCAACUACUGCCUCCUGGUGGCCUAUGAAGGCCCAAAAUCUCCUCAAGUUGACCUGUCCAGGCCCAGCUCCUGCCUCCUGUCAGCGUCUACAGGCCCAACCUCUGCCUCAUGGGGGCUUCUCCAGACCCACCUCUUCCUCUUGGCUGGGUCUACAGGCACAACUGCUGCCUCACAACAGCCUUUUUUGGCCCAGUUCCUGUCCAGCUCAUGGCGGCCAAUGUAGGCCCAAAACUUCCUCAAGUCAAACUCUCCAGGCCCACCUUCUGCUUCCCGGUGGCAUCAACAGGCCCAGCUUUGACUUGAGAACAGCCUCUGCAGGCCCUGCUCUUGCCUCCCAGGGGCUUUUUCCAGGCCCAGCUCUUGCCUCAUGGCAGCUGCCCCAGGCCAAAUUUCUGCCUGCCUGCCAGCAGCCUCAACAGGCACAGCUCCUCCCUCACAGUGGCCCAUUUAGGCCCAACUCAUGACUGUGAGGCCAUUUCCAGGCCUAG